Molecule: ribosomal RNA, 252 nt
Filed under: uncultured bacterium
Lineage: Bacteria
Description: partial 16S ribosomal RNA
Rfam family: Bacterial small subunit ribosomal RNA
Source: RNAcentral
UACGUAGGGUCCGAGCGUUGUCCGGAAUUAUUGGGCGUAAAGAGCUCGUAGGCGGUCUGUCGCGUCUGCUGUGAAAACCUGGGGCUUAACCCCCGGGCCUGCAGUGGGUACGGGCAGACUAGAGUGUGGUAGGGGAGACUGGAAUUCCUGGUGUAGCGGUGAAAUGCGCAGAUAUCAGGAGGAACACCGGUGGCGAAGGCGGGUCUCUGGGCCAUAACUGACGCUGAGGAGCGAAAGCGUGGGGAGCGAACA